RNAcentral lists this ribosomal RNA (459 nucleotides) under Streptococcus mitis. RNAcentral's name for it is "bacterial SSU rRNA". It matches the Rfam family "Bacterial small subunit ribosomal RNA", at positions 28 to 471 of the family's 1533-position model. The record is from RNAcentral. Lineage: Bacteria; Bacillati; Bacillota; Bacilli; Lactobacillales; Streptococcaceae.
GACGAACGCUGGCGGCGUGCCUAAUACAUGCAAGUAGAACGCUGAAGGAGGAGCUUGCUUCUCUGGAUGAGUUGCGAACGGGUGAGUGACGCGUAGGUAACCUGCCUGGUAGCGGGGGAUAACUAUUGGAAACGAUAGCUAAUACCGCAUAAUAGCAGUUAUUGCAUGAUAACUGUUUGAAAGGUGCAAUUGCAUCACUACCAGAUGGACCUGCGUUGUAUUAGCUAGUUGGUGAGGUAACGGCUCACCAAGGCGACGAUACAUAGCCGACCUGAGAGGGUGAUCGGCCACACUGGGACUGAGACACGGCCCAGACUCCUACGGGAGGCAGCAGUAGGGAAUCUUCGGCAAUGGACGGAAGUCUGACCGAGCAACGCCGCGUGAGUGAAGAAGGUUUUCGGAUCGUAAAGCUCUGUUGUAAGAGAAGAACGAGUGUGAGAGUGGAAAGUUCACACUGUG